UUUGGAUUCAUUGAGUUUGACUCCCUGAAACUGCUACAAAUGUUUGCAGAGAUUUGCAGGUAUUUACAUGUUAUUUGCAUUUUCAGAUCCUAAUUCUGCUUCUCAUUUUUUAAAUUCUAUUCUUGUUUUUUGGAUCUAGGGGACAGUUUUGGACAGCCAUGCUCUUAUUUUACAACCUUGUCAUGUCAAGAAUGAUGCACAGAAACAAAAGACAAUUGAGAAGGAUAAGAGUUCAACAAAAUUGCUCGUAAGAAAUGUUGCUUUUGAGGCAACAGAGAAGGAUCUAAGACGAUUGUUUAGCCCCUUUGGCCAGAUUAAAAGCUUAAGGUUGCCAAUGAAGUUUGGAAGCCAUAGAGGCUUUGCUUUUGUAGAGUAUGUUACUCAGCAGGAGGCACAAAAUGCUCUCAAAGCACUGUCAAGCACCCAUCUCUAUGGGAGACAUCUGGUAAGUCAAACAAAAUCUUGCAUUUGAUAACUUUAGUGAAUCCACUUGUGUUCUUCCAAGUACUUUAGAACUAAUAGCCACUAUUUUCAUGUGAUAGAGAGAGCGAAAGAAGGUGAGAGUUUGGAAGAACUGCUAGCACGAACAGCUUCUCAAUUUAGUGACAACAACAAUGGAUUUCAAGCUAUUAAAUUAUCCAAGAAAAGAAAGGACGUUGACAUCUUAGAUGAAGGGAAGAUGAAGUUUGGAAGAUUUGAUGACUAAACAGUUUUUGUGCAUAUGUCCUGAAAAUUCUGGGAUCACAAUUUUGUCAUAGGUUCUAAGAUAUCGCAUACCAUCUCAAGUGUUAAACAGCUUCUAACAUUAGUUUUGUAUUCUGUAUCCAUAAUUCAAUCUCCUAUAAAAUUUUGUUCUCUUAU
RNAcentral lists this small RNA (861 nucleotides) under Vigna angularis var. angularis. Its description in RNAcentral is "Non-protein coding transcript". The record is from RNAcentral. Lineage: Eukaryota; Viridiplantae; Streptophyta; Magnoliopsida; Fabales; Fabaceae.